GACGAACGCUGGCGGCGUGCUUAACACAUGCAAGUCGAACGGAAAGGCCCUGCUUUUGUGGGGUUCUCGAGUGGCGAACGGGUGAGUAACACGUGAGUAACCUGCCCUUGACUUUGGGAUAACUUCAGGAAACUGGGGCUAAUACCGGAUAGGAGCUCCUGCUGCAUGGUGGGGGUUGGAAAGUUUCGGCGGUUGGGGAUGGACUCGCGGCUUAUCAGCUUGUUGGUGGGGUAGUGGCUUACCAAGGCUUUGACGGGUAGCCGGCCUGAGAGGGUGACCGGCCACAUUGGGACUGAGAUACGGCGCAGACUCCUACGGGAGGCAGCAGUGGGGAAUAUUGCACAAUGGGCGGAAGCCUGAUGCAGCAACGCCGCGUGCGGGAUGACGGCCUUCGGGUUGUAAACCGCUUUCGCCUGUGACGAAGCGUGAGUGACGGUAAUGGGUAAAGAAGCACCGGCUAACUACGUG
This 468-nucleotide ribosomal RNA is filed under the name uncultured bacterium. Its description in RNAcentral is "partial 16S ribosomal RNA". It matches the Rfam family "Bacterial small subunit ribosomal RNA", at positions 28 to 507 of the family's 1533-position model. The record is from RNAcentral.